CCUACGGGUGGCUGCAGUGAGGAAUAUUGGUCAAUGGGCGCGAUCCUUAACCAUCCAAUUCUCUUUAUUGAAGACGGUCCUAUGGAUUGUAAACCUCUUUUGUCGGGGAGCAAAAGACGCCACGCGUGGCGUUCCGAGAGUACCCGAAGAAAAAGCAUCGGCUAACUCCGUGCCAGCAGCCGCGGUAAUACGGAGGAUGCGAGCGUUAUCCGGAUUUAUUGGGUUUAAAGGGUGCGCAGGCGGAAGAUCAAGUCAGCGGUAAAAUUGAGAGGCUCAACCUCUUCGAGCCGUUGAAACUGGUUUUCUUGAGUGAGCGAGAAGUAUGCGGAAUGCGUGGUGUAGCGGUGAAAUGCAUAGAUAUCACGCAGAACUCCGAUUGCGAAGGCAGCAUACCGGCGCUCAACUGACGCUCAUGCACGAAAGCGCGGGUAUCGAACAGGAUUAGAUACCCUUGUAGUC
Molecule: ribosomal RNA, 459 nt
Filed under: uncultured bacterium
Lineage: Bacteria
Description: partial 16S ribosomal RNA
Rfam family: Bacterial small subunit ribosomal RNA
Source: RNAcentral